GAUGAACGCUGGCGGCGUGCCUAAUACAUGCCAGUCGAGUGAACAGACGAGGAGCUUGCUCCUCUGACGUUAGCGGCGGACGGGUGAGUAACACGUGGAUAACCUACCUAUAAGACUGGGAUAACUUCGGGAAACCGGAGCUAAUACCGGAUAAUAUAUUGAACCGCAUGGUUCAAUAGUGAAAGACGGUUUUGCUGUCACUUAUAGAUGGAUCCGCGCCGCAUUAGCUAGUUGGUAAGGUAACGGCUUACCAAGGCGACGAUGCGUAGCCGACCUGAGAGGGUGAUCGGCCACACUGGAACUGAGACACGGUCCAGACUCCUACGGGAGGCAGCAGUAGGGAAUCUUCCGCAAUGGGCGAAAGCCUGACGGAGCAACGCCGCGUGAGUGAUGAAGGUCUUCGGAUCGUAAAACUCUGUUAUUAGGGAAGAACAAAUGUGUAAGUAACUAUGCACGUCUUGACGGUACCUAAUCAGAAAGCCACGGCUAACUACGUG
This 497-nucleotide ribosomal RNA is filed under the name uncultured bacterium. RNAcentral's name for it is "partial 16S ribosomal RNA". It matches the Rfam family "Bacterial small subunit ribosomal RNA", at positions 28 to 507 of the family's 1533-position model. The record is from RNAcentral.